Molecule: long non-coding RNA, 835 nt
Organism: Rhinopithecus roxellana (golden snub-nosed monkey)
Lineage: Eukaryota; Metazoa; Chordata; Mammalia; Primates; Cercopithecidae
Exons: 3
Source: RefSeq, a predicted model, not a curated record
AGAGAACGGCCUGGGUUGGAUGAACACGGCAAGUCUCCCUUCCUGGACAGUGGGGAUUUGCCUAUGGUGGGCAGACGGCGAGAUCAUCCUUUGAAAAACGCCACUUCAUAGUGUUUCCCAAGCUGUGGGCCUUCACUCAUUGGAGGGUCAAAUAAUCAAAUAUUAGGUUGCAACCAGCAUUUCAUUUACAUGAAAUAGACUCAGCCAGGAAAUCUCAAAGUACACCACAAGCAAUGAGGGUUCCUACAGCACAAUGCCCGGGGAAGAACAAAGAGGAAACUGAAGAUAAUAUACAAACGAGUCUGCUCCUGGUGGAUAGCAUCACUCACUAUUAUUAUUAACGUCGUCAACUUCUUUUUCGGAGAUAUUUCAAAAGGAGCCACAGCUCAUCCAGUGCGUUUCUGAGGUCAGCCUUCACGCCUCGCCACGUCCGUUCUCCCCACUCUCCCUGUGGGCCUCCAUCCCGGCCAUGGUCGCAGAUGUGCUGUCACUGACAAACAUUCCUGGUUAACCUGGCCCCCAGGAAGGGCUUAGUUUAGUCCAUGUCACCACCCUAUGACUCUCACCGCAUUGAAACUUCUUUCCAUUUAGAAGCAUUAGCUGAUCUAACCCAGCAACCUCCUAACUCCAUGUUCCUUCGUGCAGUCACCCUGGUGAAACAGGCAACUUGUGAGCAAAUGUCUAUUAAACGGGCUAAGUUCCAUUUCCCCAUUUUACAUGUCAAACUGAUGCUGUGGUCCCUGGGGAGUGAUUUGUCACCCAGAACAGUCACCUCUAAAAUGUGCAAAUGCUGGUCGGGUGCAGUGGCUCACGCCUGUAAUCCCAGCAUUCUGAG